This 267-nucleotide unclassified non-coding RNA is filed under the name Archaeorhizomyces sp. RNAcentral describes it as "partial contains 5.8S ribosomal RNA, internal transcribed spacer 2, and large subunit ribosomal RNA". The stretch from base 1 to 69 matches the Rfam family "5.8S ribosomal RNA", at positions 84 to 154 of the family's 154-position model. Lineage: Eukaryota; Fungi; Ascomycota; Archaeorhizomycetes; Archaeorhizomycetales; Archaeorhizomycetaceae. The record is from RNAcentral.
GUGAGUCAUCGAAUCUUUGAACGCACAUUGCGCCUCCCUUAACCGGGGGGCAUGCCUGUCUGAGCGUCAUUAAAACCUAUGGGCCCGACUGGGUUCCGUGUUGGGCCUCGCCUCUCUCUGAGCGGCGUCGCCUCGAAGUCAUCGGCCUCAUGGAGCGGACGGGAUCCUUUAUGGGCUGACCGUUCCAUGGCCGGAGUUUUUACUCUGACUUGACCUCAGAUCAGGUAGGGACACCGCCUGAACUUAAGCAUAUCAAUAAGCGGAGGA